This 497-nucleotide ribosomal RNA is filed under the name uncultured bacterium. Its description in RNAcentral is "partial 16S ribosomal RNA". It matches the Rfam family "Bacterial small subunit ribosomal RNA", at positions 28 to 507 of the family's 1533-position model. The record is from RNAcentral.
GAUGAACGCUGGCGGCGUGCCUAAUACAUGCAAGUCGAGCGAACGGACGAGAAGCUUGCUUCUCUGAUGUUAGCGGCGGACGGGUGAGUAACACGUGGAUAACCUACCUAUAAGACUGGGAUAACUUCGGGAAACCGGAGCUAAUACCGGAUAAUAUUUUGAACCGCAGGGUUCAAAAGUGAAAGACGGUCUUGCUGUCACUUAUAGAUGGAUCCGCGCUGCAUUAGCUAGUUGGUAAGGUAACGGCUUACCAAGGCAACGAUGCAUAGCCGACCUGAGAGGGUGAUCGGCCACACUGGAACUGAGACACGGUCCAGACUCCUACGGGAGGCAGCAGUAGGGAAUCUUCCGCAAUGGGCGAAAGCCUGACGGAGCAACGACGCGUGAGUGAUGAAGGUCUUCGGAUCGUAAAACUCUGUUAUUAGGGAAGAACAUAUGUGUAAGUAACUGUGCACAUCUUGACGGUACCUAAUCAGAAAGCCACGGCUAACUACGUG